Molecule: ribosomal RNA, 253 nt
Filed under: uncultured bacterium
Lineage: Bacteria
Description: partial 16S ribosomal RNA
Rfam family: Bacterial small subunit ribosomal RNA
Source: RNAcentral
AACGUAGGACACAAGCGUUAUCCGGAGUUACUGGGCGUAAAGGGCGCGUAGGCGGCCUUCUAAGUCGAACGUGAAAUCCCCGGGCUCAACCCGGGAACUGCGUCCGAUACUGGAAGGCUUGAAUCCGGGAGAGGGAUGCGGAAUUCCAGGUGUAGCGGUGAAAUGCGUAGAUAUCUGGAGGAACACCGGUGGCGAAGGCGGCAUCCUGGACCGGUAUUGACGCUGAGGCGCGAAAGCCAGGGGAGCAAACGGG